Folsomia candida is the source of this 2667-nucleotide RNA transcript. RefSeq lists it as uncharacterized. The record is from RefSeq and is a predicted model, not a curated record. The transcript is spliced from 4 exons. NCBI's taxonomy places the organism in Eukaryota, Metazoa, Arthropoda, Collembola, Entomobryomorpha, Isotomidae.
UCUCAUACCAUUCAACAGUCAUCUGUUUGUUGGAGAGGAAAUGUAAAAAAAGGACAGGAAAAGCCGGAUAUUUUAAUUUGUGAUAAAUUUCCAGAAUAAUGUGAACAGUUUCCAAACUAGAAGAAAUUUAGCGGCUACCUGGUUCUGGUUUUUAAGAGGAGGCAGCAAGUAGGAGAGUAGAAUACGAUUAAUUUUCUCUGAAUUAUUUAUAUCUGAAAUAUGUUCACAUUAUUUGCCUUGUUGCCAUGGAAAUCCACAAUUCUUCCCUACUCUGCCUUAUUCGUCACGAUAUCCUUCGUCCUCUACUUGGUGUCAAAGCACAUCCGGUACGAUUUCGGGCGGGAAUUUGUUCUCAACCUAUUUUGCAGUAUGCAAGGUCGAAAAUCUCUCUGGGUCAGUGACCCCGCUUUGGCGCGCCGCCUCCUCUCCUCCUCCUCCUCGAAGGGGAGCGGGAUCGAACAAAUCCUGAGCACGAAGGCCUUCCUGCCCAUAAUUUCGCUAGAAUCGGUGAACGGCGACCAGUGGGAGAGAAUGAAGGAGAACUUCCUCACCCUGAAGACCCACCUGCCCCCGCUGGACGAACUGGCGAAGAUAGCGGGAACCACGGCGGAGAGUUAUUUGGAGAAGGAGGAAAUCAUAGAUAGUCGGGCGCUGUCGAAAUUAAUUGUGGAAAUUAUGCAGACCUGGUUAUUCGGGGAUAGCGGGGAAGUUAGUGACGAGGUCAUCGCAGCGAUAGAGGAAUGGCGAAAAGAAAUCGCGAUCAAGGGACGCGGCGGGGAUGAAGUGAAGGCUUUAGCGGUGUCCUGGAUUCAAGGGAAGAUCCGCAGGAAUAGAAAAUAUUUUGAAAUAUUUGGAGAAAAGUGGUUUACAGAUGCGGAAUACUGGUCGGACUGGCAAUGGUUAAGUGCACAUGCACUAAGAUCGGCUUCACAGCGACUGACUCGCCUGAAUUAUAAGUAGAGAUUAAUUAUGAUUCUUAGUAAUGAAUUGACAAAAAAAUAUACCCUAAGUUGAACAGGUAUACGACAGCCAAGAAAUACGACCCAUCAGUUUCAAUCAGCCAUUUCCCGGUCGAGUAAAAUUUUUAGUUCUCAAUGUCCAUGCCCAGGUCGAGUGGCAAAGCCAAACUCUGCCGCAGCUCUGGCAGUCGAAGGCCAGAUCGCCCGCUAGAUGCUCUUAUCUGGUUUUGCGCAAGGUCGACAUAACCUGCGUGUCCUGGAAUGUAAGGGAAGGGAACUUUUCCAUACAUGAGCAGAAUUUACAUAGCUUACUCUAGUCGCCAGCUUUGGCCAUAAAUGAAUUCAAGCAUCGACAGGUAAUAGUCCCUGAAGAAAUCUGACCAUUGUACAAAUCAGGCUAGACUGUGCUGAAUUAUGUAUUGACGAAAACUGAAAUAUCUAAUUUACAUGAAAGAAAUUUUAACACUAGAAAUUUAACCUUAUAAGCAAUACUUUGAAAACUAUGAGUGAAUUUAAUGACGUAAAUUGACAGCUUUCCUGCCAAGCCAGGUCUUUCUGAAUACAUGUCCAAAAAUGCUCUUAAUGCCAAUCUUGUAGCUAAGGACAACCAUUGCAAACAUUAUUGAUGCGGUUCAGUCAUAAAUUUUACCAGCAAUGAAGAGCAUCAGAGUGACUCCGCAGAUACCGACAUUGUUACCAAAUUGGUAAUACUAUCUAUCUAUAUAAUAUAGAUAGAUUGUAUUACCAAUCAUGUAAGUAAACGAUUUAAUAUAUAGUCUAUACAUAUGAUAAAAAUUGUAUCAAUAAAUUUCCAAAAAUUCUUCAUUCCGAAAUGAAAACCAUUAGUUUUUCUGCCAUAGAUUGAUAAAUUCACUUUUAAGUAAAUAUUUCCAUUAGUGAUUAUUCAGUAAUACAUAUACACAUCUUAAGAAUAUGUAAGUAUAGGAGGCUUGCGUGAUGGCGUGUUUGCGUUUUAAAAAAUUGAUAUUAGUUUUCGAGUACAUGCAUGUUUUGAAUACAUGCAAAAAGAAGCGGGCUGACACGCAAUUCUUAAGAACCUUAAAACUAAUUUACUAAAAGGAAAGUCACAAAAAUAAGCAAUAUUUCUUCCAUCAUGCACCAUCCAAUCAGUGUGAGCAAAACGGCGCCGUUUUGGGAUAAAAUUUAUGCCGUUUUGCGGGAUUGCCCUUUUGCCGGAUUGCCUUUUUGUAUGUUUUAACAUAGAGCCCUAAAGGAAAACGGCACGGCAAGGGGAUUUUACUCGGCAAAACGGUAUGCUGGAUUGCCGUUUUGCCACAUUGCCGUUUUCGCGGAGUACACUGCAUCCAAUAUUUAGAAUAUUCUCUAUAGUUUCGUGUUUAAUACAUAUGUUGAACUGAAAAUGUUAACAUGAACCCAAACAUAUUUCAAUAACUAGGCUAUUUCAUAGUGCCCGUAGUACCAGCACCGGCCCAGUAAAUGACGUUGUAAAAGUUUACAUAUUUAUAAAAAAUUACCCACUCCUCCCAAUUCAUAUUCCAUGCAGUCCUUUUCAGAAGGGCGUUCCAUUAUGGAACUUCUAUACACUGGACAAAUGUAUGGAAGAUAAUAAAGAAUUUCACUACAAAUUAUAAAGAUAUGUAUGUAAUCGUAUUAAUAAAUUUUAUUGUUAUUUUCCGUAUUAAAAGUAUUAAAUCGCAGAGUAUUCAUGAUUACACAUCAACGUAAA